RNAcentral lists this transfer RNA (72 nucleotides) under Mycobacterium phage Myrna. It matches the Rfam family "tRNA". From Rfam's summary of the family: Transfer RNA (tRNA) molecules are approximately 80 nucleotides in length. RNAcentral also lists the same sequence under 1 other name. The record is from Rfam by way of RNAcentral. Lineage: Duplodnaviria; Heunggongvirae; Uroviricota; Caudoviricetes.
CGGGAUAUGGUGUAAGGGUUAGCACGAUUGGUUUGGGACCAUUCUGACGGGGUUCGAGUCCCUGUUUCCCGA